GGUUCCAAAUCACGACCAGGAGAUACAAGAUUAGCGAUCUCCACUCCAAGGCUCUUCUCGUCAUCCGAAGAGGCCUGCGAAUCAGAUGGAAAUAAAUGCCAAAACUAUUGCAGAUGUAAUGAAACGAGACAAGCGUACAACGCCAUUCCAUAGAUUGUUUACCUUAGUCCAGAUUGGAUAACCCUUCUCGGUCAAGAACUUUUGAGCCACGUUCAUCGCUUCAAGUUUUUCAGCUUUAGUACAUCCUCGGCCGAUCCAAACAAAGAGUCCCGAUCCUGCAGUAUCGAGGAUAAAGCAAUCCUGUAAGCAAAGUAAAAUUUUUCUCGAUAAAACCCUAUAAUUCUUCUUUAUCAUUUAGGUGUCACAGUGCGAAAAUGUGGAUGCUACUUAUGCGUAAAGCAAAACCUUACCGAAUUUUCGCUUUCGUCGUUCUUCCGAAAUCAAACAUUUAAUUGUUGGCGUGUUAGUGAAAGCAAAAAGCCCAAUUUAAAAAAUCAAAUGGUUAAUGCGUUUCGUGUGAAAAAAAAAAAUUCUCAUGAAAAGCGUAAGUAGAAACUGCAAAAAUUAUAUUCAACGAAUAAUAGGGGGAAAUUGAUAGGUAGCUAACCUCUCUUUUCAACAUAGAUUGCUGUAAUGGUUUUUGCCCAAUUUCUUCAAUCACUAGUUGUCCGCUAGCAUCGCUCACGCGGAAUAAUAUCACCGACGACUAGAAUAUUUAAAAAGGAUUACGAGGGGUUUUCCUCGAUGUACCAAUACUAAUUGAAGUCUUGCCUGUUGCUGCUUCUCAAAUAAGAUGUCAUCGUCCUCGGUAGACCCUUCCGGAACAUCCAUCGGUGAACCACUACCUAGCUCGUUGAAAAACGUGGCAACUAACCGAGAAUAACAAUCCUGGCUUUGCCAGCAUGGUCCUGGUCACGGACUUGAUUGGCAGCUUGAAUAGCCUUCAAGCGUUCUAUCUUUUUGCUGCCAUUGCCCAUAUACACGUAAAUGACCUUUCCAGCGUCCAAAACGAAGCAGUCACCUUUGUUCAUUGAAGACACAUCAAGGGGGACCUGCAGGAAUUUCGAUUCAUUUCCUGUUUGAAUAUUCAACGGAUACUGCCAGGGCAAAAUUUACCUGUCGGAUGCGAACGUUUCGCUUGCCCUUGACUUGCAACAAUUUUUUCUCUACCUGAUCGGGAUCAACGUGCUUGAACCCGCUGGCAACUCCGCCAUCAAGGUAGCGAACACCUUCACAUCAUGAUAUUUUAAUGAAUUAUUACAUUUCACAGCCCUUUAAAAGGAAAAAGAUCAGCAGUCAGUUACCUCCAGGGAAAUUUGCUAGAAACAUCGACGAUUCAUAUUCUUGAACUUCCCGAUGUUGAACAGGAACUCCACCAAGAUGGUCGUCUAACUCAACAGCGAAGAUUGCCGCUGCUCCCAUUUCAUCCUAUAAUCAAUCACAUUUUAAUGCUUCAGUUGAAACGGUCAGACAGUGACUGAUCGAGAUGGGAACCAGUGGCAAAUUCCAUGCAUUUUCAAUAACAAACCUGCGACGUGUCUUUCCCCAGCCAAAAAUGGAUGUCCCAUUUCAAUUUGUCUCCGGAUAGGCGGGUCUGUAAAAGUUAAUUAUCAUUAAUAUUAUUUCCUUGCAGACGCUGUGCUUCCAAAAAUACUCACGUUCAGAACAAUGUAAGAAUCUCCACUGUAGAAUUUCCCGUACGAUUUUUUGUCGUAUAGAACUGGUGCGAAAUUCUGUAAUGAUAUGUGGAUCGAAAUUAGAAAUUGCGACACAUAUGCGUCACAUUGGUCACCAAAGCUAUAUUAACAUUUUUCGAAUAAAUAUUUUCCAUUUUGAAA
Long non-coding RNA from Daphnia carinata, 1838 nucleotides. RefSeq lists it as uncharacterized. The transcript has 4 exons. The record is from RefSeq and is a predicted model, not a curated record. Lineage: Eukaryota; Metazoa; Arthropoda; Branchiopoda; Diplostraca; Daphniidae.